GACGAACGCUGGCGGCGUGCUUAACACAUGCAAGUCGAACGGAAAGGCCCUGCUUUUGUGGGGUGCUCGAGUGGCGAACGGGUGAGUAACACGUGAGUAACCUGCCCUUGACUUUGGGAUAACUUCAGGAAACUGGGGCUAAUACCGGAUAGGAGCUCCUGCUGCAUGGUGGGGGUUGGAAAGUUUCGGCGGUUGGGGAUGGACUCGCGGCUUAUCAGCUUGUUGGUGGGGUAGUGGCUUACCAAGGCUUUGACGGGUAGCCGGCCUGAGAGGGUGACCGGCCACAAUGGGACUGAGAUACGGCCCAGACUCCUACGGGAGGCAGCAGUGGGGAAUAUUGCACAAUGGGCGCGAGCCUGAUGCAGCAACGCCGCGUGCGGGAUGACGGCCUUCGGGUUGUAAACCGCUUUCGCCUGUGACGAAGCGUGAGUGACGGUAAUGAGCAAAGAAGCACCGGCUAACUACGUG
RNAcentral lists this ribosomal RNA (468 nucleotides) under uncultured bacterium. RNAcentral's name for it is "partial 16S ribosomal RNA". It matches the Rfam family "Bacterial small subunit ribosomal RNA", at positions 28 to 507 of the family's 1533-position model. The record is from RNAcentral.